RNAcentral lists this ribosomal RNA (279 nucleotides) under uncultured bacterium. Its description in RNAcentral is "partial 16S ribosomal RNA". It matches the Rfam family "Bacterial small subunit ribosomal RNA", at positions 506 to 784 of the family's 1533-position model. The record is from RNAcentral.
UGCCAGCAGCCGCGGUAAUACGGAGGGGGUUAGCGUUGUUCGGAAUUACUGGGCGUAAAGCGCACGUAGGCGGAUUAGAAAGUUAGAGGUGAAAUCCCUGGGCUCAACCCUGGAACUGCCUUUAAAACUCCUAGUCUUGAGUUCGAGAGAGGUGAGUGGAAUUCCAAGUGUAGAGGUGAAAUUCGUAGAUAUUUGGAGGAACACCAGUGGCGAAGGCGGCUCACUGGCUCGAUACGGACGCUGAGGGACGAAAGCGUGGGGAGCGAACAGGAUUAGAUA